RNAcentral lists this ribosomal RNA (466 nucleotides) under uncultured bacterium. RNAcentral describes it as "partial 16S ribosomal RNA". It matches the Rfam family "Bacterial small subunit ribosomal RNA", at positions 28 to 507 of the family's 1533-position model. The record is from RNAcentral.
GACGAACGCUGGCGGCGCGCCUAACACAUGCAAGUCGAACGAGCGAGCGAGAGCUUGCUUUCGCGAGCGAGUGGCGAACGGGUGAGUAACGCGUGAGGAACCUGCCUCAAAGAGGGGGACAACAGUUGGAAACGACUGCUAAUACCGCAUAAGAGCACGACCCGGCAUGGGGUAGAGGGAAAAGGAGCAAUCCGCUUUGAGAUGGCCGCGCGUCCGAUUAGCUUGUUGGUGUGGUAACGGCCCACCAAGGCGACGGUCGGUAGCCGGACUGAGGGGUGGAACGGCCACAUUGGGACUGAGACACGGCCCAGACUCCUACGGGAGGGAGCAGUAGAGAAUAUUGCACAAUGAGGCAAAACCUGAUGCAGCGGCGCCGCGUAGAGGAAGAAGCUCUUCGGAUUGUAAACUCCUGUUGUUGGAGAAGAUAAUGACGGUACUCAACAAGGAAGUGACGGCUAACUACGUG